UACGAAGGGGGCUAGCGUUGCUCGGAAUCACUGGGCGUAAAGGGUGCGUAGGCGGGUUUUUAAGUCAGGGGUGAAAUCCUGGAGCUCAACUCCAGAACUGCCUUUGAUACUGAAGAUCUUGAGUCCGGGAGAGGUGAGUGGAACUGCGAGUGUAGAGGUGAAAUUCGUAGAUAUUCGCAAGAACACCAGUGGCGAAGGCGGCUUACUGGUCCGGUUCUGACGCUGAGGUGCGAAAGCGUGGGGAGCAAACAGG
Molecule: ribosomal RNA, 253 nt
Filed under: uncultured bacterium
Lineage: Bacteria
Description: partial 16S ribosomal RNA
Rfam family: Bacterial small subunit ribosomal RNA
Source: RNAcentral